This 440-nucleotide ribosomal RNA is filed under the name uncultured bacterium. Its description in RNAcentral is "partial 16S ribosomal RNA". It matches the Rfam family "Bacterial small subunit ribosomal RNA", at positions 339 to 795 of the family's 1533-position model. The record is from RNAcentral.
CUACGGGACGCUCCAGUCGCGAAUAUUCCGCAAUGGACGAAAGUCUGACGGAGCGACGCCGCGUGCCGGAUGAAGGCCUUCGGGUUGUAAACGGCUUUUCUUAGGGAAGAACAAAUGACGGUACCUAAGGAAUAAGAGGUUGCUAACUCUGUGCCAGCAGCAGCGGUAAUACAGAGCCUCAAGCGUUAUCCGGAUUUAUUGGGCGUAAAGGGUCCGCAGGCGGCCAUACAAGUCCUGUGUCAAAUGUUCGGGCUCAACCCGAACACUGCGCAGGAAACUGUACGGCUAGAGGCUGGGAGAGGCAUACGGAAUUGUCGGUGUAGCGGUAAUAUGCGUUCAUAUCGACAAGAACACCAAAGGCGAAGGCAGUAUGCUGGAACAGUUCUGACGCUCAGGGACGAAAGCGUGGGUAGCGAAUGGGAUUAGAUACCCCCGUAGUC